This 401-nucleotide long non-coding RNA is filed under the name Coffea arabica (coffee). Its description in RNAcentral is "long non-coding RNA (CARA_LNC004673)". Lineage: Eukaryota; Viridiplantae; Streptophyta; Magnoliopsida; Gentianales; Rubiaceae. The record is from RNAcentral.
UCCCCUUAAAUAUGGGAUAUAGACGAGUGUGACUUUUUCUAAGCCUUAGCACGCUUGUAUUCCCUCUAUAAAAGGGUAAAUUGAGUCACGAUUUAGGUCUCCCCGUACCCAAUAUGCAUGCGUUCCCUAGGCUCAUGCAUUCUAAAUCCACUCUAUCAUUACACUUUCACUUUUCAUUCCAUUUGCACACAUACACCUUUUAUCCCUUCACCUGCACACGAACACUUUUGUUCCAUUUUGCACACAUGCACCUUUAUGUUUCUUCACCUGCACACGAACACUUUUGUUCCAUUUUGCACACAUGCACCUUUAUGUUUCUUCACUUGCACACGAACACUUUUAUCAUCACUUGCACACAUGCACUUCAUAUUAUCAUUUCACAUACCGUACCUUGCCCACUC